Molecule: ribosomal RNA, 894 nt
Filed under: Salmonella enterica subsp. enterica serovar Kentucky
Lineage: Bacteria; Pseudomonadati; Pseudomonadota; Gammaproteobacteria; Enterobacterales; Enterobacteriaceae
Description: partial 23S ribosomal RNA
Rfam family: Bacterial large subunit ribosomal RNA
Source: RNAcentral
AGGGAAACCGAGUCUUAACUGGGCGUUAAGUUGCAGGGUAUAGACCCGAAACCCGGUGAUCUAGCCAUGGGCAGGUUGAAGGUUGGGUAACACUAACUGGAGGACCGAACCGACUAAUGUUGAAAAAUUAGCGGAUGACUUGUGGCUGGGGGUGAAAGGCCAAUCAAACCGGGAGAUAGCUGGUUCUCCCCGAAAGCUAUUUAGGUAGCGCCUCGUGAACUCAUCUUCGGGGGUAGAGCACUGUUUCGGCUAGGGGGUCAUCCCGACUUACCAACCCGAUGCAAACUGCGAAUACCGAAGAAUGUUAUCACGGGAGACACACGGCGGGUGCUAACGUCCGUCGUGAAGAGGGAAACAACCCAGACCGCCAGCUAAGGUCCCAAAGUCACAGUUAAGUGGGAAACGAUGUGGGAAGGCUCAGACAGCCAGGAUGUUGGCUUAGAAGCAGCCAUCAUUUAAAGAAAGCGUAAUAGCUCACUGGUCGAGUCGGCCUGCGCGGAAGAUGUAACGGGGCUAAACUGUGCACCGAAGCUGCGGCAGCGACGCUUAUGCGUUGUUGGGUAGGGGAGCGUUCUGUAAGCCUGCGAAGGUGUCCUGUGAGGGAUGCUGGAGGUAUCAGAAGUGCGAAUGCUGACAUAAGUAACGAUAAUGCGGGUGAAAAGCCCGCUCGCCGGAAGACCAAGGGUUCCUGUCCAACGUUAAUCGGGGCAGGGUGAGUCGACCCCUAAGGCGAGGCCGAAAGGCGUAGUCGAUGGGAAACGGGUUAAUAUUCCCGUACUUGGUGUUACUGCGAAGGGGGGACGGAGAAGGCUAUGUUGGCCGGGCGACGGUUGUCCCGGUUUAAGCGUGUAGGCUGGUUUUCCAGGCAAAUCCGGAAAAUCAAGGCUGAGGCGU